Molecule: ribosomal RNA, 253 nt
Filed under: uncultured bacterium
Lineage: Bacteria
Description: partial 16S ribosomal RNA
Rfam family: Bacterial small subunit ribosomal RNA
Source: RNAcentral
UACGUAGGGGGCAAGCGUUGUCCGGAUUUAUUGGGCGUAAAGAGCGUGUAGGCGGCCAGACAGGUCCGUUGUGAAAACUCGAGGCUCAACCUCGAGACGUCGAUGGAAACCGUCUGGCUAGAGUCCGGAAGAGGAGAGUGGAAUUCCUGGUGUAGCGGUGAAAUGCACAGAUAUCAGGAAGAACACCCGUGGCGAAGGCGGCUCUCUGGGCCGGUACUGACGCUGAGGAGCGAAAGCGUGGGUAGCAAACAGG